GCCUUGGUCUGCAUUUUAAAUUCAACUGAAUGUUUGAAAGGGGAGAUGGAACAGGAUGGUAAUUGUCGGUAGUCCUCCCCCUAUCUUGAAGGGAGUCUCCUCCGUUCCAUAAAUUACCUUGGAUACUUCCGGAUCCAAUGACUAUACCAACAAAUAUUGCCAAUCCCCAGUUGCCUGUGGAGAAGAUGAUGUUUGACCUUCUUGAACUGCUGCAGUCCGUGUGGUGAAAGUGCUCCCACAAUGCUGUUAGGGUGUUAGAAGAGGAGGAUUUGCAGUCGGGAAACUGAAACCAAACAUCACAUCAGGAUCUGACGGAGCCGCCCAAUUUAUCAUAAGCUGAAUAUCAUUGGAUUUUGAACAUGGAAGGAAAAAGCACCGUUCACAGUGGGGAGAAACCGUACAUGUGUUCCGUGUGUGGAUGAGGCUUCAAUCAAUCAUCUGUCUUGUCAAAACACAAGUGAAUUCACACUGGGGAGAAACCAUGGAAAUGUGGAGAUCGUGGGAAGGGAUUCAGAUCCCUGUCUGACCUGGAAACUCAUUGGCGCAGUCACACUGGGGAAAAAAACCAUUUACCUGCUCUGAGUGUGGGUAAGGAUUUACUCUCAGCUAUCCCACCUGCAGACACACUAGCGAAUUCACAAUGGGAAGAGUCUGUUCACCUGCUCCGAGUGUGGGAAGGGAUUCCCUGAUGCAUCCAGUUGACACACCAGCAAGUUCACACUGAGGAGAGACCUUUUAAAUGCCCGUUGUGCGGGAAGUGCUUUAAAAGUUUCAGGGAACUAAUAUUCCAUCAAUGUGUUUACACUAAUGCUCUCGGUAUGGGACUGGGUUCAGGCGAUCAUCUGAACUCACUCCACACCAGCCAGUUCACACUGGUGAGAGGCUGGUUCACCUGUUCUGUGUGUGGGAAGAGAUUCACACAGCCAUCCAACCUGCUGGCACACCAUAGAAUUCACAUUGGGGAGAGACCUGCUUAACGAGUGGGAAGGGAUUCUCUACUUCACCCUACCUGCUGAGACACCAGCGAGUUCACAAGUAACGACAGUGAUUGGAUUUUGCUGUUAAUCACAUCCAGCACUGAGCCAUUUUCAUUGGAGUCUGUUUCUGCUGAUGUCAAUAAAUGUGUCACGACUCACUGGGACUCGUGCACUGUAAUAUCAAGCCCCACUGCUCCCCGAGCCAAGACAAACAUGAGAAAUUUUAUUAGACCACCAUUUUAUUUGCCCCAAUUCUACCUAACUUUUUAAUGUAGAUUAACAGAAUACAAGCACCAGGUUUGUAAACUUAACAAGU
Carcharodon carcharias (great white shark) is the source of this 1293-nucleotide long non-coding RNA. RefSeq lists it as uncharacterized. NCBI's taxonomy places the organism in Eukaryota, Metazoa, Chordata, Chondrichthyes, Lamniformes, Lamnidae. The record is from RefSeq and is a predicted model, not a curated record. The transcript is spliced from 3 exons.